This 440-nucleotide ribosomal RNA is filed under the name uncultured bacterium. RNAcentral describes it as "bacterial SSU rRNA". It matches the Rfam family "Bacterial small subunit ribosomal RNA", at positions 338 to 770 of the family's 1533-position model. The record is from RNAcentral.
CCUACGGGAGGCAGCAGUGGGGAAUUUUGCGCAAUGGGCUAACGCCUGACGCAGCAACGCCGCGUGGAGGAUGAAGGUCUUUGGAUUGUAAACUCCUGUCAGCAGGGAAAAAGCGACUCGUGCUCAUACCACGGGGAGUUGAUUGUACCUGCAGAGGAAGCCCCGGCUAACUCUGUGCCAGCAGCCGCGGUAAUACAGAGGGGGCAAGCGUUAUUCGGAAUUAUUGGGCGUAAAGGGCGCGUAGGCGGCUUGGCAAGUGAAAGGUGAAAUCCCUCGGCUUAACCGAGGAACUGCCUUUCAGACUGCUUUGCUUGAGGCCGGGAGAGGCGAGUGGAAUUCCCAGUGUAGCGGUGAAAUGCGUAGAUAUUGGGAGGAACACCAGUGGCGAAGGCGGCUCGCUGGACCGGUUCUGACGCUGAGGCGCGAAAGCGUGGGGAGCA